GUAGUCUCGCACAGAUGCAUAUCAAUAAGCGGAGGAAAAGAAACUAACAAGGAUUCCCUCAGUAACGGCGAGUGAAGCGGGAAGAGCUCAAAUUUGAAAUCUUGAAAGGUCACCUUUCACGAAUUGUAGUUUAUAGAAGUGUUUUCUGUUACGAUCGUAAUAUAAGUUCUUUGGAAUAGGACAUCACAGAGGGUGAGAAUCCCGUCUAUGAUUGCGAUUUGUAGCUUUGUGUUACACUUUCAAAGAGUCGGGUUGUUUGGGAAUGCAGCCCAAAACGGGAGGUAAAUUUCUUCUAAGGCUAAAUAUUGGCGAGAGACCGAUAGCGAACAAGUACCGUGAGGGAAAGAUGAAAAGAACUUUGAAAAGAGAGUUAAAUAGUACGUGAAAUUGUCAAAAGGGAAGCGUUUAACACCAGUGUUGUUUUCUGAAAAUCAACCUCUGUUAGCUUUAUGCAUGUUUGUUUAGACCUAAUCAGCUAUCUUGCAUGUUCUAUUGUUUGCAGUGGUGCACUUUUCAGUUUACAGGUCAACAUCAGUUUUUUUUACCGUAAAAAAGUUAAAGAAAGGUAGCUCAUGGCUCCGGUCGUGAGUGUUAUAGUCUUUUUCCUAUGCGGUAGGAGAGACUGAGGUCUGCAGUGUAGGCUAUUUGGCUAGAUACUCAGGUGCUAUGUGAUACCAUUUCAUAAACAACUUGUUGAUUAUGUUUUGUCUAUUGCAUACUCGCUUGUACUAUCAUACCUACGCUUAGGAUGUUGAGUCGUAGAGCACGCAG
RNAcentral lists this ribosomal RNA (771 nucleotides) under uncultured Neocallimastigales. Its description in RNAcentral is "partial large subunit ribosomal RNA". It matches the Rfam family "Eukaryotic large subunit ribosomal RNA", at positions 24 to 628 of the family's 3401-position model. Lineage: Eukaryota; Fungi; Neocallimastigomycota; Neocallimastigomycetes; Neocallimastigales. The record is from RNAcentral.